AGUGAACGCUGGCGGUAGGCCUAACACAUGCAAGUCGAACGGCAGCACAGUAAGAGCUUGCUCUUACGGGUGGCGAGUGGCGGACGGGUGAGGAAUACAUCGGAAUCUACUUUUUCGUGGGGGAUAACGUAGGGAAACUUACGCUAAUACCGCAUACGACCUACGGGUGAAAGCAGGGGAUCUUCGGACCUUGCGCGAUUGAAUGAGCCGAUGUCGGAUUAGCUAGUUGGCGGGGUAAAGGCCCACCAAGGCGACGAUCCGUAGCUGGUCUGAGAGGAUGAUCAGCCACACUGGAACUGAGACACGGUCCAGACUACUACGGGAGGCAGCAGUGGGGAAUAUUGGACAAUGGGCGCAAGCCUGAUCCAGACAUACCGCGUGGGUGAAGAAGGCAUUCGGGUUGUAAAGCACUUUUGUUGGGAAAGAAAAGCAGCAGGUUAAUACCCCGCUGUUCUGACGGUACACAAAGAAUAAGCACCGGCUAACUUCGUG
RNAcentral lists this ribosomal RNA (492 nucleotides) under uncultured bacterium. RNAcentral's name for it is "partial 16S ribosomal RNA". It matches the Rfam family "Bacterial small subunit ribosomal RNA", at positions 29 to 507 of the family's 1533-position model. The record is from RNAcentral.